GACGAACGCUGGCGGCGUGCCUAAUACAUGCAAGUUGAGCGCUGAAGGUUGGUACUUGUACCAACUGGAUGAGCAGCGAACGGGUGAGUAACGCGUGGGGAAUCUGCCUUUGAGCGGGGGACAACAUUUGGAAACGAAUGCUAAUACCGCAUAAAAACUUUAAACACAAGUUUUAAGUUUGAAAGAUGCAAUUGCAUCACUCAAAGAUGAUCCCGCGUUGUAUUAGCUAGUUGGUGAGGUAAAGGCUCACCAAGGCGAUGAUACAUAGCCGACCUGAGAGGGUGAUCGGCCGCAUUGGGACGGGGACACGGCCCAAACUCCUGCGGGAGGCAGCAGUAGGGAAUCUUCGGCAAUGGACGAAAGUCUGACCGAGCAACGCCGCGUGAGUGAAGAAGGGUUUCGGAUCGUAAAACUCUGUUGGUAGAGAAGAACGUUGGUGAGAGUGGAAAGCACAUCAAGUGACGGUAACUACCCAGAAAGGGACGGCUAACUACGUG
RNAcentral lists this ribosomal RNA (497 nucleotides) under uncultured bacterium. RNAcentral describes it as "partial 16S ribosomal RNA". It matches the Rfam family "Bacterial small subunit ribosomal RNA", at positions 28 to 507 of the family's 1533-position model. The record is from RNAcentral.